AUUUUGAUGGCUGAUAAAAGCAGUAGAUUGUAAAUCUACAUAUGAAUUUAAUUUCUCAAGGAA
This 63-nucleotide transfer RNA is filed under the name Runcina aurata. RNAcentral describes it as "tRNA-Tyr". The record is from RNAcentral. Lineage: Eukaryota; Metazoa; Mollusca; Gastropoda; Runcinacea; Runcinidae.